GAUGAACGCUGACAGAAUGCUUAACACAUGCAAGUCAACUUGAAUUUGGGUUUUUAACUUAGGUUUGGGUGGCGGACGGGUGAGUAACGCGUAAAGAACUUGCCUCACAGCUAGGGACAACAUUUGGAAACGAAUGCUAAUACCUAAUAUUAUGAUAAUAGGGCAUCCUAUAAUUAUGAAAGCUAUAAGCGCUGUGAGAGAGCUUUGCGUCCCAUUAGCUAGUUGGAGAGGUAACGGCUCACCAAGGCGAUGAUGGGUAGCCGGCCUGAGAGGGUGAUCGGCCACAAGGGGACUGAGACACGGCCCUUACUCCCACGGGAGGCAGCAGUGGGGAAUAUUGGACAAUGGACCGAGAGUCUGAUCCAGCAAUUCUGUGUGCACGAUGAAGUUUUUCGGAAUGUAAAGUGCUUUCAGUUGGGAAGAAACAAAUGACGGUACCAACAGAAGAAGUGACGGCUAAAUACGUG
Molecule: ribosomal RNA, 467 nt
Filed under: uncultured bacterium
Lineage: Bacteria
Description: partial 16S ribosomal RNA
Rfam family: Bacterial small subunit ribosomal RNA
Source: RNAcentral